UACGUAGGGUCCGAGCGUUGUCCGGAAUUAUUGGGCGUAAAGGGCUCGUAGGCGGUUUGUCGCGUCGGGAGUGAAAACACGGGGCUUAACCCCGUGCCUGCUUCCGAUACGGGCAGACUAGAGGUAUGCAGGGGAGAACGGAAUUCCUGGUGUAGCGGUGAAAUGCGCAGAUAUCAGGAGGAACACCGGUGGCGAAGGCGGGUCUCUGGGCAACAACUGACGCUGAGGAGCGAAAGCGUGGGGAGCGAACAGG
RNAcentral lists this ribosomal RNA (253 nucleotides) under uncultured bacterium. RNAcentral's name for it is "partial 16S ribosomal RNA". It matches the Rfam family "Bacterial small subunit ribosomal RNA", at positions 524 to 776 of the family's 1533-position model. The record is from RNAcentral.